This 484-nucleotide ribosomal RNA is filed under the name uncultured bacterium. RNAcentral's name for it is "partial 16S ribosomal RNA". It matches the Rfam family "Bacterial small subunit ribosomal RNA", at positions 30 to 507 of the family's 1533-position model. The record is from RNAcentral.
AUUGAACGCUGGCGGCAGGCCUAACACAUGCAAGUCGAGCGGAUGAAGGGAGCUUGCUCCUGGAUUCAGCGGCGGACGGGUGGGUAAUGCCUAGGAAUCUGCCUGGUAGUGGGGGAUAACGUCCGGAAACGGGCGCUAAUACCGCAUACGUCCUGAGGGAGAAAGUGGGGGAUCUUCGGACCUCACGCUAUCAGAUGAGCCUAGGUCGGAUUAGCUAGUUGGUGGGGUAAAGGCCUACCAAGGCGACGAUCCGUAACUGGUCUGAGAGGAUGAUCAGUCACACUGGAACUGAGACACGGUCCAGACUCCUACGGGAGGCAGCAGUGGGGAAUAUUGGACAAUGGACGAAAGCCUGAUCCAGCCAUGCCGCGUGUGUGAAGAAGGUCUUCGGAUUGUAAAGCACUUUAAGUUGGGAGGAAGGGCAGUAAGUUAAUACCUUGCUGUUUUGACGUUACCAACAGAAUAAGCACCGGCUAACUUCGUG